Molecule: ribosomal RNA, 497 nt
Filed under: uncultured bacterium
Lineage: Bacteria
Description: partial 16S ribosomal RNA
Rfam family: Bacterial small subunit ribosomal RNA
Source: RNAcentral
GAUGAACGCUGGCGGCGUGCCUAAUACAUGCAAGUCGAGCGAACGGACGAGAAGCUUGCUUCUCUGAUGUUAGCGGCGGACGGGUGAGUAACACGUGGAUAACCUACCUAUAAGACUGGGAUAACUUCGGGAAACCGGAGCUAAUACCGGAUGAUAUUUUGAACCGCAUGGUUCAACAGUGAAAGACGGUCUUGCUGUCACUUAUAGAUGGAUCCGCGCUGCAUUAGCUAGUUGGUAAGGUAACGGCUUACCAAGGCAACGAUGCGUAGCCGACCUGAGAGGGUGAUCGGCCACACUGGAACUGAGACACGGUCCAGACUCCUACGGGAGGCAGCAGUAGGGAAUCUUCCGCAAUGGGCGAAAGCCUGACGGAGCAACGCCGCGUGAGUGAUGAAGGUCUUCGGAUCGUAAAACUCUGUUAUUAGGGAAGAACAUAUGUGUAAGUAACUGUGCACAUCUUGACGGUACCUAAACAGAAAGCCACGGCUAACUACGUG